This 1462-nucleotide ribosomal RNA is filed under the name uncultured Bordetella sp. RNAcentral describes it as "partial 16S-23S ribosomal RNA intergenic spacer". It matches the Rfam family "Bacterial small subunit ribosomal RNA". Lineage: Bacteria; Pseudomonadati; Pseudomonadota; Betaproteobacteria; Burkholderiales; Alcaligenaceae. The record is from RNAcentral.
GGCUCAGAUUGAACGCUGGCGGGAUGCUUUACACAUGCAAGUCGAACGGCAGCACGGACUUCGGUCUGGUGGCGAGUGGCGAACGGGUGAGUAAUGUAUCGGAACGUGCCUAGUAGCGGGGGAUAACUACGCGAAAGCGUAGCUAAUACCGCAUACGCCCUUCGGGGGAAAGCGAGGCCUUCGGGCCUCGCACUAUUAGAGCAGCCGAUAUCGGAUUAGCUAGUUGGUGGGGUAACGGCUCACCAGGCGACGAUCCGUAGCUGGUUUGAGAGGACGACCAGCCACUGGGACUGAGACACGGCCCAGACUCCUACGGGAGGCAGCAGUGGGGGAAUUUUGGACAAUGGGAAAACCCUGAUCCAGCCAUCCCGCGUGUGCGAUGAAGGCCUUCGGGUUGUAAAGCACUUUUGGCAGGAAAGAAACGGCACGGGAUAAUACCCCGUGCAACUGACAGUACCUGCAGAAUAAGCACCGGCUAACUACGUGCCGUUGGCGCGGUAUGCGUAGGGUGCAAGCGUUAAUCGGAAUUGCUGGGCGUAAAGCGUGCGCGGGCGGUUCGGAAAGAAGAUGUGAAAUCCCAGAGCUUAACUUUGGAACUGCAUUUUUUAACUACCGAGCUAGAGUGUGUCAGAGGGAGGUGGAAUUCCGCGUGUAGCAGUGAAAUGCGUAGAUAUGCGGAGAGGAACACCGAUGGCGAGGCAGCCUCUGGGAUGCUGCUGACGCUCAUGCACGAAAGCGUGGGAGCAAACAGGAUUAGAUACCUGAUGAGUCCACGCCUAAACGAUGUCAACUAGCUGUUGGGGCCUUCGGGCCUUGGUAGCGCAGCUAACGCGUGAAGUUGACCUUGCAAGUACGGUCGCAAGAUUAAAAACUCAAAGGAAUUGACGGGGACCCGCACAAGCGGUGGAUGAUGUGGAUUAAUUCGAUUUAACGCGAAAAACCUUACCUACCCUUGACAUGUCUGGAAUCCCGAAGAGAUUUGGGGAGUGCUCGCAGAGAACCGGAACACAGGUGCUGCAUGGCUGUCGUCAGCUCGUGUCGUGAGAUGUUGGGUUAAGUCCCGCAACGAAGCGCAACCCUUAUCAUUAGUUGCUACGAAAGGAGCACUCUAAUGAGACUGCCGGUGACAAACCGGAGAGGUGGGGAUGACGUCAAGUCCUCAUGGCCCUUAUGGGUAGGGCUUCACACGUCAUACAAUGGUCGGGACAGAGGGGUCGCCAACCCGCGAGGAGCCAAUCCCAGAAACCCGAUCGUAGUCCGGAUCGCAGUCUGCAACUCGACUGCGUGAAGUCGGAAUCGCUAGUAAUCGCGGAUCAGCAUGUCGCGGUGAAUACGUUCCCGGGUCUUGUACACCGCCCGUCACACCAUGGGAGUGGGUUUUACCAGAAGUGAUUAGCCUAACCGUAAGGAGGGCGAUUACCACGGUAGGAUUCAUGACUGGGGUGAAGUCGUAACAAGGUAA